RNAcentral lists this RNase P RNA (455 nucleotides) under Deltaproteobacteria bacterium. Its description in RNAcentral is "RNase P RNA component class A". It matches the Rfam family "Bacterial RNase P class A". From Rfam's summary of the family: Ribonuclease P (RNase P) is a ubiquitous endoribonuclease, found in archaea, bacteria and eukarya as well as chloroplasts and mitochondria. The record is from RNAcentral. Lineage: Bacteria; Pseudomonadati; Myxococcota; Myxococcia.
UGAGGAGGCCAGGCGGCCGCCGGCCCUCCUUCGCAGCGGCUUGCGCCGCCGCUUCGGAGGGCGGGAGGAAAGUCCGGGCUCCGCAGGGCAGGGUGCCGGGUAAUUCCCGGUGGGGGCGACCCCGAGGACAGUGCCACAGAAAACAUACCGCCCACCUUCGCUUCUCGCAUCCCAUCCGGGAUGCGCUCGAAGCUACGGAGGGUAAGGGUGAAACGGCGAGGUAAGAGCUCACCGCGCGCCGGGCAACCGUCGCGGCACGGCAAACCACACCCGGAGCAAGACCGAAUAGGAGGGCGACUCCGCGGCUCGUCAAGCGGGGGAAGGGCGGCCCGCCCGGGGCCCUCGGGUCAAGGUCGCUAAAGGCGAAGCGGCAACGCGCGCCGUAGAGAAAUGGCCGUCACUCCGACCGGGCAACCGGGCGGGGCACAGAACCCGGCUUACGGCCUCCUCGAAGU